RNAcentral lists this long non-coding RNA (456 nucleotides) under Populus trichocarpa (black cottonwood). RNAcentral describes it as "long non-coding RNA (PTRI_LNC001393)". Lineage: Eukaryota; Viridiplantae; Streptophyta; Magnoliopsida; Malpighiales; Salicaceae. The record is from RNAcentral.
GAACUCUGAACCUUAAAACCAGAACCCAAGAGAGAGAGAGAGAGAGAGAGAGACAGCGAGACAGCAAGGCAAAACAGUAGUACAGUUCUACUGCUGGUGUGUCUGGUCUGUGAGUCUGGUCUGUGAAACACAAGCCGUCCACUAAAAAAUCUGCUAAAGUCACUCUUCCUUGGCUUAUACUAUAAUGAAGAGCAGUAUUUCUCUGGCUCAUAACUCUCUUUUCCCUUCUUUAUAUACAUUAUUAUUUCACCUCUCUCAGGUACCCUUUGCUCUUUCCUUCCCUCUUUUUUUUUUGUUCUUGAUAGUUUUGCUGAUCCGGGGUUGAUUGCAAUGCUUGAUUUCUCACUCCUAUUUUUUGGUAAAGAAGCACCCAAUUCUUUAAUUGGGUCUGGUUUUUCUGAUUCUUUUCUUGAAUAUUGUUUUUCUCUCUCCCUCUAACAAUUUCUCAAGUGGAAG